AACGAACGCUGGCGGCAGGCCUAACACAUGCAAGUCGAGCGGACCCUUCGGGGUUAGCGGCGGACGGGUGAGUAACGCGUGGGAAUAUGCCCUUCUCUACGGAAUAGUCCUGGGAAACUGGGGGUAAUACCGUAUACGCCCUUUGGGGGAAAGAUUUAUCGGGGAAGGAUUAGCCCGCGUUGGAUUAGGUAGUUGGUGGGGUAAUGGCCUACCAAGCCGACGAUCCAUAGCUGGUUUGAGAGGAUGAUCAGCCACACUGGGACUGAGACACGGCCCAGACUCCUACGGGAGGCAGCAGUGGGGAAUCUUAGACAAUGGGGGCAACCCUGAUCUAGCCAUGCCGCGUGAGUGAUGAAGGCCUUAGGGUUGUAAAGCUCUUUCAGCUGGGAAGAUAAUGGCGGUACCAGCAGAAGAAGCCCCGGCUAACUCCGUG
This 433-nucleotide ribosomal RNA is filed under the name uncultured bacterium. RNAcentral's name for it is "partial 16S ribosomal RNA". It matches the Rfam family "Bacterial small subunit ribosomal RNA", at positions 29 to 507 of the family's 1533-position model. The record is from RNAcentral.